RNAcentral lists this ribosomal RNA (226 nucleotides) under Physcia kalbii. RNAcentral's name for it is "partial 18S ribosomal RNA". The record is from RNAcentral. Lineage: Eukaryota; Fungi; Ascomycota; Lecanoromycetes; Caliciales; Physciaceae.
GCCGCCACCAAUAUAUCGGAAGCCUUGUAUUUAACAGUCUGCUGCUUUUCGUAGCUAGGCAACGCUUGAUUGAUGCUGGGAAAUGCUCCUUAUGGUGCCUAACCAGCAGCCGCUAUGCUAGUCCGCUAGCAUUUCGGUUCACAGAUCAUCUUCAGGCGGUCCCUUUGAGAUUAAGAUAUGACCGGUCCCGCUAAGACAUCAGCGGAAUCAUCGUUCCGUAGGUGAA